GGCGAGAUGGCCGAGCGGUCUAAGGCGCUACGUUAAGGAAUUCCUUAAUAACAUCCUCUUCUCCCCCGAAGAACGAUUCCGUAGUCCGAAAGGGCGUGGGUUCGAAUCCCACUCUCGUCA
Molecule: transfer RNA, 120 nt
Filed under: Cercophora newfieldiana
Lineage: Eukaryota; Fungi; Ascomycota; Sordariomycetes; Sordariales; Lasiosphaeriaceae
Rfam family: tRNA
About the family: Transfer RNA (tRNA) molecules are approximately 80 nucleotides in length.
Source: Rfam by way of RNAcentral